AGUUCUGGGCCACAGUGUGCUGUGCUGAGCGAGUGUCCACACUAAGUUUAGUGUUAAUAUGGUGACCUCCUGGAAGCAGGGGACCACCAAGUUGCCUAAGGAGGGGUGAACGGCCCAGGUCAGAAGUGGAGCAAGUGGAAACUCCCGUUCACAGCAGUAGCGGGAUCAAGCCUGUGAAUACCCACUGCCCUUCAG
This 195-nucleotide signal recognition particle RNA is filed under the name Loxodonta africana (African savanna elephant). RNAcentral describes it as "Metazoan signal recognition particle RNA". It matches the Rfam family "Metazoan signal recognition particle RNA", at positions 73 to 269 of the family's 299-position model. From Rfam's summary of the family: The signal recognition particle (SRP) is a universally conserved ribonucleoprotein. It is involved in the co-translational targeting of proteins to membranes. Lineage: Eukaryota; Metazoa; Chordata; Mammalia; Proboscidea; Elephantidae. The record is from Rfam by way of RNAcentral.